This 2802-nucleotide ribosomal RNA is filed under the name Escherichia coli. RNAcentral describes it as "partial 23S ribosomal RNA". It matches the Rfam family "Bacterial large subunit ribosomal RNA". Lineage: Bacteria; Pseudomonadati; Pseudomonadota; Gammaproteobacteria; Enterobacterales; Enterobacteriaceae. The record is from RNAcentral.
GGGUUGUGAGGUUAAGCGACUAAGCGUACACGGUGGAUGCCCUGGCAGUCAGAGGCGAUGAAGGACGUGCUAAUCUGCGAUAAGCGUCGGUAAGGUGAUAUGAACCGUUAUAACCGGCGAUUUCCGAAUGGGGAAACCCAGUGUGAUUCGUCACACUAUCAUUAACUGAAUCCAUAGGUUAAUGAGGCGAACCGGGGGAACUGAAACAUCUAAGUACCCCGAGGAAAAGAAAUCAACCGAGAUUCCCCCAGUAGCGGCGAGCGAACGGGGAGCAGCCCAGAGCCUGAAUCAGUGUGUGUGUUAGUGGAAGCGUCUGGAAAGGCGCGCGAUACAGGGUGACAGCCCCGUACACAAAAAUGCACAUACUGUGAGCUCGAUGAGUAGGGCGGGACACGUGGUAUCCUGUCUGAAUAUGGGGGGACCAUCCUCCAAGGCUAAAUACUCCUGACUGACCGAUAGUGAACCAGUACCGUGAGGGAAAGGCGAAAAGAACCCCGGCGAGGGGAGUGAAAAAGAACCUGAAACCGUGUACGUACAAGCAGUGGGAGCACGCUUAGGCGUGUGACUGCGUACCUUUUGUAUAAUGGGUCAGCGACUUAUAUUCUGUAGCAAGGUUAACCGAAUAGGGGAGCCGAAGGGAAACCGAGUCUUAACUGGGCGUUAAGUUGCAGGGUAUAGACCCGAAACCCGGUGAUCUAGCCAUGGGCAGGUUGAAGGUUGGGUAACACUAACUGGAGGACCGAACCGACUAAUGUUGAAAAAUUAGCGGAUGACUUGUGGCUGGGGGUGAAAGGCCAAUCAAACCGGGAGAUAGCUGGUUCUCCCCGAAAGCUAUUUAGGUAGCGCCUCGUGAAUUCAUCUCCGGGGGUAGAGCACUGUUUCGGCAAGGGGGUCAUCCCGACUUACCAACCCGAUGCAAACUGCGAAUACCGGAGAAUGUUAUCACGGGAGACACACGGCGGGUGCUAACGUCCGUCGUGAAGAGGGAAACAACCCAGACCGCCAGCUAAGGUCCCAAAGUCAUGGUUAAGUGGGAAACGAUGUGGGAAGGCCCAGACAGCCAGGAUGUUGGCUUAGAAGCAGCCAUCAUUUAAAGAAAGCGUAAUAGCUCACUGGUCGAGUCGGCCUGCGCGGAAGAUGUAACGGGGCUAAACCAUGCACCGAAGCUGCGGCAGCGACGCUGAUGCGUUGUUGGGUAGGGGAGCGUUCUGUAAGCCUGCGAAGGUGUGCUGUGAGGCAUGCUGGAGGUAUCAGAAGUGCGAAUGCUGACAUAAGUAACGAUAAAGCGGGUGAAAAGCCCGCUCGCCGGAAGACCAAGGGUUCCUGUCCAACGUUAAUCGGGGCAGGGUGAGUCGACCCCUAAGGCGAGGCCGAAAGGCGUAGUCGAUGGGAAACAGGUUAAUAUUCCUGUACUUGGUGUUACUGCGAAGGGGGGACGGAGAAGGCUAUGUUGGCCGGGCGACGGUUGUCCCGGUUUAAGCGUGUAGGCUGGUUUUCCAGGCAAAUCCGGAAAAUCAAGGCUGAGGCGUGAUGACGAGGCACUACGGUGCUGAAGCAACAAAUGCCCUGCUUCCAGGAAAAGCCUCUAAGCAUCAGGUAACAUCAAAUCGUACCCCAAACCGACACAGGUGGUCAGGUAGAGAAUACCAAGGCGCUUGAGAGAACUCGGGUGAAGGAACUAGGCAAAAUGGUGCCGUAACUUCGGGAGAAGGCACGCUGAUAUGUAGGUGAAGUCCCUCGCGGAUGGAGCUGAAAUCAGUCGAAGAUACCAGCUGGCUGCAACUGUUUAUUAAAAACACAGCACUGUGCAAACACGAAAGUGGACGUAUACGGUGUGACGCCUGCCCGGUGCCGGAAGGUUAAUUGAUGGGGUUAGCGCAAGCGAAGCUCUUGAUCGAAGCCCCGGUAAACGGCGGCCGUAACUAUAACGGUCCUAAGGUAGCGAAAUUCCUUGUCGGGUAAGUUCCGACCUGCACGAAUGGCGUAAUGAUGGCCAGGCUGUCUCCACCCGAGACUCAGUGAAAUUGAACUCGCUGUGAAGAUGCAGUGUACCCGCGGCAAGACGGAAAGACCCCGUGAACCUUUACUAUAGCUUGACACUGAACAUUGAGCCUUGAUGUGUAGGAUAGGUGGGAGGCUUUGAAGUGUGGACGCCAGUCUGCAUGGAGCCGACCUUGAAAUACCACCCUUUAAUGUUUGAUGUUCUAACGUGGACCCGUAAUCCGGGUUGCGGACAGUGUCUGGUGGGUAGUUUGACUGGGGCGGUCUCCUCCUAAAGAGUAACGGAGGAGCACGAAGGUUGGCUAAUCCUGGUCGGACAUCAGGAGGUUAGUGCAAUGGCAUAAGCCAGCUUGACUGCGAGCGUGACGGCGCGAGCAGGUGCGAAAGCAGGUCAUAGUGAUCCGGUGGUUCUGAAUGGAAGGGCCAUCGCUCAACGGAUAAAAGGUACUCCGGGGAUAACAGGCUGAUACCGCCCAAGAGUUCAUAUCGACGGCGGUGUUUGGCACCUCGAUGUCGGCUCAUCACAUCCUGGGGCUGAAGUAGGUCCCAAGGGUAUGGCUGUUCGCCAUUUAAAGUGGUACGCGAGCUGGGUUUAGAACGUCGUGAGACAGUUCGGUCCCUAUCUGCCGUGGGCGCUGGAGAAUUGAGGGGGGCUGCUCCUAGUACGAGAGGACCGGAGUGGACGCAUCACUGGUGUUCGGGUUGUCAUGCCAAUGGCACUGCCCGGUAGCUAAAUGCGGAAGAGAUAAGUGCUGAAAGCAUCUAAGCACGAAACUUGCCCCGAGAUGAGUUCUCCCUGAC